AACGAACGCUGGCGGCAUGCCUAACACAUGCAAGUCGAACGAGACCUUCGGGUCUAGUGGCGCACGGGUGCGUAACGCGUGGGAACCUGCCCUUAGGUUCGGAAUAACUCCCCGAAAGGGGUGCUAAUACCGGAUAAUGUCUUCGGACCAAAGAUUUUUCGCCUUUGGUUGGGCCCGCGUUGGAUUAGCUAGUUGGUUGGGUAAAAGCCUACCAAGGCGACGAUCCAUAGCUGGUCUGGGAGGAUGAUCAGCCACACUGGGACUGAGACACGGCCCAGGCUCAUACGGGAGGCAGCAGUGGGGAAUAUUGGACAAUGGGCGAAAGCCUGAUCCAGCAAUGCCGCGUGAGUGAUGAAGGCCUUAGGGUUGUAAAGCUCUUUUACCCGGGAUGAUAAUGACAGUACCGGGAGAAUAAGCUCCGGCUAACUCCGUG
RNAcentral lists this ribosomal RNA (433 nucleotides) under uncultured bacterium. RNAcentral describes it as "partial 16S ribosomal RNA". It matches the Rfam family "Bacterial small subunit ribosomal RNA", at positions 29 to 507 of the family's 1533-position model. The record is from RNAcentral.